GAUGAACGCUGGCGGCGUGCCUAAUACAUGCAAGUCGAGCGAACGGACGAGAAGCUUGCUUCUCUGAUGUUAGCGGCGGACGGGUGAGUAACACGUGGAUAACCUACCUAUAAGACUGGGAUGACUUCGGGAAACCGUAGCUAAUACCGGAUAAUAUUUUGAACCGCAUGGUUCAAAAGUGAAAGACGGUCUUGCUGCCACUUAUAGAUGGAUCCGCGCUGCAUUAGCUAGUUGGUAAGGUAACGGCUUACCAAGGCAACGAUGCAUAGCCGACCUGAGAGGGUGAUCGGCCACACUGGAACUGAGACGCGGUCCAGACUCCUACGGGAGGCAGCAGUAGGGAAUCUUCCGCAAUGGGCGAAAGCCUGACGGAGCAACGCCGCGUGAGUGAUGAAGGUCUUCGGAUCGUAAAACUCUGUUAUUAGGGAAGAACAUAUGUGUAAGUAACUGUGCACAUCUUGACGGUACCUAAUCAGAAAGCCACGGCUAACUACGUG
This 497-nucleotide ribosomal RNA is filed under the name uncultured bacterium. Its description in RNAcentral is "partial 16S ribosomal RNA". It matches the Rfam family "Bacterial small subunit ribosomal RNA", at positions 28 to 507 of the family's 1533-position model. The record is from RNAcentral.